RNAcentral lists this small RNA (2310 nucleotides) under Rattus norvegicus (Norway rat). Its description in RNAcentral is "uncharacterized LOC102554773". The record is from RNAcentral. Lineage: Eukaryota; Metazoa; Chordata; Mammalia; Rodentia; Muridae.
AGUGGGCCAAGACUAGAUGCUCAUCAACGUAUGGAUGGAUGGUGCGUCUACACAAUGGCGUUUUAUGGGACCCUAAAGCAAACUGAAAUCAUGACAUUUGCAGGUAAAUGAGUGGAACUGGAGAUUGCUGUGUUGAAGGCGGUAGACACAGAAGGACAAACACCUCAUGUUUUCUCUCACAUAUGAUGUAGAUUUUGAUUGUUACCCAACCAGGAAAGCGAUCAUGAGAGUGGGAAAAGGAGCUCUUGGGUUGGAGGUGAGAAGAGAAACUAAAAAGUCAAGAGAACACAUGUGGCAAAAAAUGAGAAGAGGGACUCCUGAGGGAGGAAGCCAGCGGAGCAGGUUCUACAGCUGUAAACCACCUGCCCUCAGAGCUACUGACUUCAUACUUCUCCUUUUCUAAAGGAUCAGAGUCCAGGCUUUCCAGACUGUACUGAGGUGGCCUAAGUGACCAAUGCAAACACUGUGAUGGCUAUUCAACACGUGAAGCCCAACGCUGUGACAUCAUUUGGACACCAUGCACACUACUAACUUGAGGGUAAUCAGAGCUGCGGACUGAUGGAGUGGAAAGAGUGCUGGGCAGAGGGCCAGAGUCUCAGAGUUCAAGCUUGUUGCUGUAACAUUCGCCAGCUCUGCAUCCUCAGCAAAGAAAUUGCCCGAGUCUUGGAAUCUCUGGAUGACGGACAUGGCCAAUGCUCCUGGCUUCACAUGAAGACGAAAUCAGACCUUAAAUUUUCAUUCGGCAUUCUGUCUGCAGGUUCCUGAUUAUGAAGCUGGAAAUACAUGUGGAGGAUCCUUGACAUGCCCGCUCUGAGCCAUGCCUCCACUCACGGGCCCUGUUUUGACUUCAGGUUUAAAGUCCAGCUGAGUGACUCUCUGUGUUUUCACCAUGGGGCUGCGUCUUUCUUCAAUAUCCAGCUGAGCAGAAAGAAGCAAUGUCCGUCUCUGCAAUCUGUUCUAGUGCAGACACCCGCGACAGGCGACGUCAUCAACUACUUUAGCGUUUCAAGACAAGAAGAGAGAAACAUCUGGGAAGGAAGAGCAUGACAACAUCAGCCUCUGAGGUUUGCAGCCUAGUGUGUCAGCCAUGAUGACUGCAAUCUCUGCUAAAGUUACCAGAAAUAGAUUUCAACUCACAGUGCAGUUUCUCCAUUAGAGCAUUCCGUUUCUAAUGCUCCAUUACCCAGCAAGUGGAAUGCCACCAGAGAAGGAGGUAGAGUCAGCACCAAGCAUCAAAGAAAGAAGAGCAUCUCCCGUGAGUACACACAAAGAAGGAUUGUAUAGUGCUCACUGCAAGCUAACAGGUCAGAUAAGUGAGUUGACUCAUUACUGAAGUGCGAGUUUGUAAACUUCGACUGUGUGGUGGAGCACAGCAGACAGCAGACCAAAGCAAAUUCACAUUCCAGAACUUCCUCAGCCACAGGCUGGAUCUGCUGCCCUGAAAUGGGUGCUUUCGUUUUCUAGGUUCUGCUUUUCUCUUCUGUAAAGUCGUGUGGCUGAUCUCAAAGGUUCUUUCCAGCUCAGGAUCUCUAUGUUUCUAAGCAAGGAACCACGUGCUUUACUGCAAACUCAAGAGCCAGUCAUAAGGGCAAGACACCUUUCACUCUUACUGUCUGCAAAGUCAUACGGAAACAAAAUGAGUAAAAGUGUUCCUUCUAGAAUAAAGCAGAAAGUGCCCUCAUAUGCCUCUGUGGGGAGCAUGACUGUAUUUUGACUCUUUGGCACAUGUAAUUUUUAAAAAAGUUGGGACUCACAUCAUAAAUAAUGUUGAAUGGAGCUUACCAACAUCCAUACAGAAGUACCUAGCAACUUUUCAUGACUGCACUGGGGGAUUCCUUACAUCAAAGACACAUCGUAUUUAUCUCAACAAAGAUACUGGAUGAGAACUUGAAAUGAAUAUGUUAAGCAAUGAGUAGUUUUCAGUCACAAUCCCUGUAAAAACAAAUUUGGGGAAAUUACCAAGCAACAUAUGUGAGGCCAGAGAGAUGCAUUGCUGACUUCUUUUUGUUUACCUGCUAGUAGAGUAUGUUUUAAAUAUUCAUUAAAUUAUUUAAUAUAGGACUUUGAUUAUUAACCUCCAACAAAUAGCUACAUCUUAAAAAUUAAAAUUACAGCUAAGCUCUGGCCUUCAUGUGGGUCUGGAACAACUGGAAUGGAGGCUAUGCAAAAUCUGUUGCCUGUAUGUGGAAUAUGUUGUACUACCUGGGCUACAUUGUGAGUCCUCUGUGGAAGAAGUGCCUAGCCUCAAAGACAUGAAGUGCCAUUGUUGGAGGUCAGGUAUACCCAGGGGGUCCUACCCACUCAGAAGAG